This 790-nucleotide ribosomal RNA is filed under the name Pseudopestalotiopsis theae. RNAcentral describes it as "LSU rRNA". It matches the Rfam family "Eukaryotic large subunit ribosomal RNA", at positions 108 to 923 of the family's 3401-position model. The record is from RNAcentral. Lineage: Eukaryota; Fungi; Ascomycota; Sordariomycetes; Amphisphaeriales; Sporocadaceae.
CUCAAAUUUGAAAUCUGGCCCUUGGGUCCGAAUUGUAAUUUGUAGAGGAUGAUUUUGGUGCGGUAUCUUCCGAGUUCCUUGGAACAGGACGCCUUAGAGGGUGAGAGCCCCGUACGGUUGAAUGCCUAGCCUCUGUAAAUCUCCUUCGACGAGUCGAGUAGUUUGGGAAUGCUGCUCUAAAUGGGAGGUAAAUUUCUUCUAAAGCUAAAUAUUGGCCAGAGACCGAUAGCGCACAAGUAGAGUGAUCGAAAGAUGAAAAGCACUUUGAAAAGAGGGUUAAAUAGCACGUGAAAUUGUUGAAAGGGAAGGAUUUGUGACCAGACUUUUUCUGGGCGGAUCAUCCGGGGUUCUCUCCGGUGCACUUUGCCCAGUAAAGGCCAGCAUCGGUUUUCGGCGGGGGAUAAAAGCAGUAGGAAUGUGGCUCUCUACGGGGAGUGUUAUAGCCUAUUGUAUAAUACCCUGCUGGGGACCGAGGUACGCGCUUCUGCAAGGAUGCUGGCGUAAUGGUUAUCAAUCACCCGUCUUGAAACACGGACCAAGGAGUCGAACAUUUGUGCGAGUGUUUGGGUGUUAAACCCUCACGCGUAAUGAAAGUGAACGGAGGUGAGAGCCCUUACGGGUGCAUCAUCGACCGAUCCUGAAGUUUUCGGAUGGAUUUGAGUAAGAGCAUAACUGUUCGGACCCGAAAGAUGGUGAACUAUGCGUGGAUAGGGUGAAGCCAGAGGAAACUCUGGUGGAGGCUCGCAGCGGUUCUGACGUGCAAAUCGAUCGUCAAAUCUGCGCAUGGGGG